GAUGAAGAACGCAGCGAAAUGCGAUAAGUAGUGUGAAUUGCAGAAUUCAGUGAAUCAUCGAAUCUUUGAACGCACAUUGCGCCCCUUGGUAUUCCAUGGGGCAUGCCUGUUCGAGCGUCAUUUGUACCUUCAAGCUUUGCUUGGUGUUGGGUGUUUGUCUCGCCUUUGCGUGUAGACUCGCCUUAAAAUAAUUGGCAGCCGGCGUAUUGAUUUCGGAGCGCAGUACAUCUCGCGCUUUGCACUCAUAACGACAGCGUCCAAAAGUACAUUUUACACUCUUGACCUCGGAUCAGGUAGGGAUACCCGCUGAACUUAAGCAUAUUAAUAAGCGGAGGA
Molecule: unclassified non-coding RNA, 336 nt
Filed under: soil metagenome
Description: partial contains 5.8S ribosomal RNA, internal transcribed spacer 2, and large subunit ribosomal RNA
Rfam family: 5.8S ribosomal RNA (bases 1-120)
Source: RNAcentral